Molecule: long non-coding RNA, 1175 nt
Filed under: Homo sapiens (human)
Lineage: Eukaryota; Metazoa; Chordata; Mammalia; Primates; Hominidae
Description: HSALNT0327715
Source: RNAcentral
AAAAAAAGAGCUUCACAGUCUAUAAUAUUUCAAACAAAACAAAAGCAUCCUUUACCUAAUACUAGAUAUUUGUUUCUACCUGAUCCUGAAUCAAAUCUUGAGGAAGCUGCCAUUGUUUUUCUGAUUAUUUCUAGGUAAUAAAAAUGCCCUAAGCUUACUUUUAGCUACUAGACAAUCGCCUGUACCUUCCUUACUAAAAUAAGUCUAGUUUUGUAGCAUCUAAAAAUUCAUAGUGAUAUCCAAGUUGGAACUCCUCAUUCCCAGCUUAGGCCUACCUGGGAAAAUUGCAGUGGAGAAGUGGGACCUCACCUAAAAUUCACAGUCUGGGUCACAAUGGAAACUCUCUUAUGGGUCUAAAUCAUUAAAAGUUAUCAUAAGGCUAAUAAAUUAUUUAAAACAUUUGUCACCUAUCUUUCUAACAAUGUGGAAGACUAGGUUGGAAUUUAGAACUCUAAAUUUAGAACUAGGUUGGAAUUUAGAAUUUAGAAUUGAGGACCAUAAGAGAAACAGCUUUCAACCCACUCUUCUCUACAGAUAUCCAAGCCCAAGCACCUGAUCACUGUCUUUCCCAAGCAGUAAUCAGAUAUUCCAUGGCAUGUCACUGAUCCCAGAUGAUGUUUAGAGUUCUAUAAGAAAAGAAACUACACACCUGACACAGUUCAGGAAAGGUCACAUAUUUAGAGCCAUCUCAUCUACGACAAAACCAUCUUCUACCUGUGUUUUACCUUUUACUUGUGACUACCGUUUCUCAAGGCAUCAUUUCUCACAACGGCAACUCUUGUGCUGCAUUCCUCUUCUAAGUGCUGCUAGCUCCUGCCUUCCAAUAUUGCUCUUGAAGGAUUCACUGCCUAGGCUGUGAGAAUGUAGCAUUAAGGCAUACACAACUGGGAAAUAGUAGCUGACAAUGGACUAAAGGUAUGAGAAGCAAAGUGACUCCAACAAAAACAGUGUGCUCACUGUAAACAACAAAUAAUGACAAAACCUCCAGCAGCAAGAGAGGCAAAUGGCUCUCUCGAUAAUCUUGAUGGAAAGCACUGUUCACGGCUCCUUCAUCUUUUAGACAAAGGAUGGCACCACGUGCAAGGCUCAGUGGGCUCCCAGAUCAGCCCUCUUUUCUUGAAAAGUAGGAAAGAAGAAAAUGUGCUCUUAAAAGGAAUCAAAGGCUCUGGAGCUGU